UCAAACUAAAGAUGGCGACCGGCGCACGGGUGAGUAACACGUAUCCAACCUGCCGAUAACUCGGGGAUAGCCUUUCGAAAGAAAGAUUAAUAUCCGAUAGUAUAUUAAAACCGCAUGGUUUUACUAUUAAAGAAUUUCGGUUAUCGAUGGGGAUGCGUUCCAUUAGUUUGUUGGCGGGGUAACGGCCCACCAAGACUACGAUGGAUAGGGGUUCUGAGAGGAAGGUCCCCCACAUUGGAACUGAGACACGGUCCAA
Molecule: ribosomal RNA, 256 nt
Filed under: uncultured bacterium
Lineage: Bacteria
Description: partial 16S ribosomal RNA
Rfam family: Bacterial small subunit ribosomal RNA
Source: RNAcentral